Molecule: ribosomal RNA, 431 nt
Filed under: bacterium enrichment culture DGGE gel band B22
Lineage: Bacteria
Description: bacterial SSU rRNA
Rfam family: Bacterial small subunit ribosomal RNA
Source: RNAcentral
GCAACGCGAAAAACCUUACCUACCCUUGACAUGCCAGGAACCUUGCCGAGAGGCGAGGGUGCCUUCGGGAGCCUGGACACAGGUGCUGCAUGGCUGUCGUCAGCUCGUGUCGUGAGAUGUUGGGUUAAGUCCCGCAACGAGCGCAACCCUUGUCACUAGUUGCCAUCAUUUGGUUGGGCACUCUAUUGAGACUGCCGGUGACAAACCGGAGGAAGGUGGGGAUGACGUCAAGUCCUCAUGGCCCUUAUGGGUAGGGCUUCACACGUCAUACAAUGGUCGGUACAGAGGGUUGCCAAGCCGCGAGGUGGAGCCAAUCCCUUAAAGCCGAUCGUAGUCCGGAUCGAANUCUGCAACUCGACUACGUGAAGUCGGAAUCGCUAGUAAUCGCAGAUCAACAUGCUGCGGUGAAUACAUUCCCGGGUCUUGCACAC